This 390-nucleotide ribosomal RNA is filed under the name uncultured bacterium. Its description in RNAcentral is "bacterial SSU rRNA". It matches the Rfam family "Bacterial small subunit ribosomal RNA", at positions 21 to 426 of the family's 1533-position model. The record is from RNAcentral.
GGCUCAGAAUCAACGCUGGCGGCGUGCCUAACACAUGCAAGUCGAACGAGAAAGUGGAGCAAUCCAUGAGUAAGGUGGCGACCGGGUGAGUAACACGUGACUACCUACCCUUGAGUGGGGGAUAACCUCGGGAAACCGAGGCUAAUACCGCAUAAUAUCGAAGGAUCAAAGGAGUAAUCCGCUUUUGGAGGGGGUCGCGGCUGAUUAGCUAGUUGGUAAGGUAAUGGCUUACCAAGGCGAAGAUCGGUAUCCGGCCUGAGAGGGCGCACGGACACACUGGAACUGAAACACGGUCCAGACUCCUACGGGAGGCAGCAGUGGGGAAUUUUGCGCAAUGGGGGAAACCCUGACGCAGCAACGCCGCGUGGAGGAUGAAGCCCCUUGGGGCGU